CUCUCGGCAACGGAUAUCUCGGCUCACGCAUCGAUGAAGAACGUAGCAAAAUGCGAUACUUGGUGUGAAUUGCAGAAUCCCGUGAACCAUCGAGUUUUUGAACGCAAGUUGCGCCCGAAGCCAUUCGGUUGAGGGCACGUCUGCCUGGGCGUCACGCAUCGCGUC
RNAcentral lists this ribosomal RNA (165 nucleotides) under Eurybia eryngiifolia. RNAcentral's name for it is "5.8S ribosomal RNA". It matches the Rfam family "5.8S ribosomal RNA". From Rfam's summary of the family: 5.8S ribosomal RNA (5.8S rRNA) is a component of the large subunit of the eukaryotic ribosome. It is transcribed by RNA polymerase I as part of the 45S precursor that also contains 18S and 28S rRNA. RNAcentral also lists the same sequence under 1 other name. Lineage: Eukaryota; Viridiplantae; Streptophyta; Magnoliopsida; Asterales; Asteraceae. The record is from RNAcentral.